RNAcentral lists this ribosomal RNA (533 nucleotides) under uncultured bacterium. RNAcentral's name for it is "partial 16S ribosomal RNA". It matches the Rfam family "Bacterial small subunit ribosomal RNA", at positions 355 to 901 of the family's 1533-position model. The record is from RNAcentral.
UGGGGAAUAUUGCACAAUGGGCGAAAGCCUGAUGCAGCAACGCCGCGUGAGGGACGACGGCCUUCGGGUUGUAAACCUCUUUUAGCAAGGAAGAAGCGAAAGUGACGGUACUUGCAGAAAAAGCGCCGGCUAACUACGUGCCAGCAGCCGCGGUAAUACGUAGGGCGCAAGCGUUAUCCGGAAUUAUUGGGCGUAAAGAGCUCGUAGGCGGUUUGUCGCGUCUGCUGUGAAAACCCGAGGCUCAACCUCGGGCCUGCAGUGGGUACGGGCAGACUAGAGUGCGGUAGGGGAGAUUGGAACUCCUGGUGUAGCGGUGGAAUGCGCAGAUAUCAGGAAGAACACCGAUGGCGAAGGCAGAUCUCUGGGCCGUAACUGACGCUGAGGAGCGAAAGGGUGGGGAGCAAACAGGCUUAGAUACCCUGGUAGUCCACCCGUAACGUUGGGAACUAGUUGUGGGGUCCAUUCCACGGAUUCCGUGACGCAGCUAACGCAUUAAGUUCCCCGCCUGGGGAGUACGGCCGCAAGGCUAAACU